AUGGGGUGGCGGGAGGUGAAGCCGGAGGCGCCACCAGUGUGCGAGCAGCCCCUUCUCUUUCCUUUCUGGAACCUGCAGCCACCCGCCCACCAGGAGUUCGGGGGGACGACAGGCUUGGGACAGGCCCUGCCCAGCCCCUGCCCCAUACACACCGUGCAUCCUGAUGGCGCCCCAGCCAGUCACCCAGCACUGGUGCUCCGGGGUGACCUCACGCUGGGCCUACAAGAGCCUGACCGGCUUGACGUCAGCAGUGCUCUCCACAGAGUCCGACAGCCGGAGCAGGGCGAUGUCCACGCCCAGACUGGCGUCGAUGUAGCUGGCAAGGACGACAACACGGCUCACGUCCAGCAGCCUCCUGCCCCUGGAGAGAUACACGUCCCCCGCAUGGAUGCGGUGUGCUCCUGGCUGGAAUGGAAUUUCCGGUCGAAAGGGACCCUGAAACUUGGCAGGAGGCAGGAAGCAGCGGGCAAGGUAAGGCACCCCCACGUCUCUUGCUGGGAGGGGCUGCGAGCUAAAAGGACGGCCAUGCGUGUGCGUCUUCCUCGUGUGCCAGUCCCCUGGGUGCCCACGACGGGCUGGCCACCACCCCUUGAACCUUUCCCCCCCCGGACCCAACACCAGAGCACAGAAGGGCCGAGAGCGCCUGCUGUGCGGCCGCAAGUGAGAGUUCAAACAAGUAGGAAGAGGCAGGUGGCGGAGGGACCGGCAGGCAGGGGCCCUUCGGAACCACGGGAGCCAGUGACCCACACAGCAUCUACGUGAGAAAACCUAUUUAUUUGAGAGAGAGAGACCCAGGUGCACUGGUGCUGGGGGAGGGGAGAGGGACAAGCAGACUCCCUGCUGAGCAGGGAGCCCGAUGCGGGACUCGAUCCCAGGACCUCGGGAUGAUGACCUGAGCCGAAGGCAGACGCUUCACCGACUCAACCACACAAGCGCCUGCACGUGAGGAACUUUGUAACUUUUUAAGGGGAUUUGUUGGUCCCAAGCCUGAUGCUCAGUGACUCAGCUGCACGGAGGGGCCACCCAGUCUUGUUCUGUGUGUAGAGAUGUGCGGGACAGGCAGAGCCGUGGACGUAGAAAGUGGAUCUGAGGUUGUCAGGGGCCGGGAGGGGAAACGGGAGAGCCGGCUCUGCUCACGGGCUUCUGUCCGGACGGGAAGCGACGAGACCGCCCGCUGCCCCGGGAGCUGGAUCUGGACAACGGGAGGCUCCUCUCCCCCUCCCCUGUCCUUGGGAUGUGGGUUCCACUGGCCUUUUCACUCCCAGAUGCUGCUCCAAGGACACAGCCCUGAGAUAGGGAGGUGGUGCUGGGAACACCUGCAUGGGGACUGAGCCCAGGGAAGGCCUCUCCCGACACCACCUCUCAGGCCCUGGCCGGCGGGUACAGGGACACAAGUUUCCACUGCUUAGGAACCCUGCCACCUACCCCCGUGGAGUGGCCUGCCUCUUCCUUCAGUCUCUGCCGGCCUUCCAAGUGUGCGGCCGGUUUCAGAUGACACCCGGAGGCUCCCGAGGGGCCCGUGUGCACACGGAGGAGGGCUCCCGGGUCCCUCUGCACUUGGCAGGACCUUUGCUGCAGGCCCUGGCGAGAUUCCUCCUUACCGAAUCUAUGAAGUCCCCCUCGGCCCAAGUUUGCUGAGAGUUUUAUCACAAGCGGUGGUUGAAUUUAUCAGCCAAAAGAAUCAAACGGGUUUCCCUUAUCUGUUGAGAUUACUACCAGGUUGUUCAUCUUGCUCUGUGAAGGUGGCCGGUUGUACCAGUAG
Ursus americanus (American black bear) is the source of this 1762-nucleotide long non-coding RNA. Lineage: Eukaryota; Metazoa; Chordata; Mammalia; Carnivora; Ursidae. The record is from Ensembl.